Molecule: unclassified non-coding RNA, 260 nt
Filed under: plant metagenome
Description: partial contains small subunit ribosomal RNA, internal transcribed spacer 1, and 5.8S ribosomal RNA
Source: RNAcentral
UUUCCGUAGGUGAACCUGCGGAAGGAUCAUUACCGAAUUGUCAAACGGGUUGUUGCUGGUCUUCAAACGGGGACAUCUGCACGCUCUGUUUACACAUCCACUCACACCUGUGCACCCUCCGUAGUUCUAUGGUCUGGGGGACCCUGUCUUCCUGGCGUGGUUCUACGUCUUUACACACACUCUGUAAUAAAGUCUUAUGGAAUGUAUGCCGCGUCUAACGCAAUACAAUACAACUUUCAGCAACGGAUCUCUUGGCUCUC